UACGGAGGGUGCGAGCGUUGUCCGGAAUUACUGGGCGUAAAGGGCUCGUAGGCGGCCAACUAAGUCCGACGUGAAAUCCCCAGGCUUAACCUGGGAACUGCGUCGGAUACUGGAUGGCUUGAAUCCGGGAGAGGGAUGCGGAAUUCCAGGUGUAGCGGUGAAAUGCGUAGAUAUCUGGAGGAACACCGGUGGCGAAGGCGGCAUCCUGGACCGGCAUUGACGGCUGAGGAGCGAAAGCCAGGGGAGCAAACGGG
RNAcentral lists this ribosomal RNA (254 nucleotides) under uncultured bacterium. RNAcentral describes it as "partial 16S ribosomal RNA". It matches the Rfam family "Bacterial small subunit ribosomal RNA", at positions 524 to 776 of the family's 1533-position model. The record is from RNAcentral.